CAUGACCAGAAUUCGGUUACCUGAGUAUGGAUUUCUCCUUGCUCGUAAGACGGAGGGAGGCAAUUUGCAGCUUUCGUUUUCGAUCAUUCGGCGAAUUCCCGAGAUUUCUUGUUUCCUGUUGAUUUUUAGGUAUGCGCCUUGGAGCUCUCGCUCGCUUGCUCGGGAUAUACACUACAUACUACAUACCACUGUAGAGCCUGUCUGUGAGCUCAUUGGCGGGUACUGGUGGGUGUCAGCGGCCUCAUGAGCAUUGUACGUAUUUCAUUAGCUCCCCGCCAACAUGUUGUCCAGGUCUGUCUUGAGAAUAUUGGCCUUUCAAUCAGAAUAAUGUGAACGGGCGCGUGGUCCCUGUCACUUGAAUCGGUGGGAGACCAAAUCCCAAUCCAAGAAGCCAUGGACGACGAUGGCUUCAGGGAACAUUCCAGCGGCCAAGUGGACGGAGGCAUUCAUUGAAUUGAACAAAACCCCUAAUCAGAGUGGCCAUUGGACGCGAAUCAUGAAUUCAUGAUCCUCUGACGGAAUAAGCCAACUACGUACUCGCAAAGUUAUGCCCGAUGUCUGACUUGCGAAACGCCACGACCAACAACAACCACAACAACUGUGGGUAAAGCCACUACCACAUCACAGUACAUAGAUGUACAUUAAAAGACGGGAGUACCGAGAUUUGACACGCAUCCAAAUCGAAUGCAAAACUCGAGGUUCCGAGUAACCAGAACAGCAUCACUGACCAACAAUCUGGCCUCGGUGAAUUAUGGAGGACUUCUUGAAAACUCGUUCAAAUGGGGGCUAUCACUAUCAACAUGAUCGCACCUCAACAGCAAUUUCUGGGUGAAACGAAUAUCCACAUGCCAACUACGCAAAAGGUACAGUAUGAAUGCAACCGUGCAUGCAUCAACGCUCAACAAAGAGAGAACGAGAGAAAGUGGCGAUCAAUUAACAAAGGCAUUGCAACCAACUAGGUCGGAUUAAAAAACCACCAAUGGCAUCUAAAAUCGGAAAGGGGUUCGAUUCCAACCAACUUAACACAUUUAUGGGAAGGGCUUGGACUCCCUUGUGGGUCGUCAUACCCGUGAACCGAGUGCCACAGUGUGAAGCAAAAAAUAGGAUUCCCCGCACACAUACAUACACAUACACACACAGGCACACUCAUACACUCGUACGCAGUGUACACAGUUAGAACAAGAGUCAACAUUGUAAAUGCAACUAUCAAACCCAACCGUCAAAAUGAGCGCCUUUGCUUUAUAAGGGACUCGAAUUAAUAGAGAGAGUAACCUUGGGAGCCCUGGGGUCAAACCUGGAUGGAAUCGACUCGGCCCAAGGACAAUUUGAUAUUUGGCCAAAUGGCAUUGGUUCUCGGAAUACCCGAAUAAUUGGACACGUUCGUAUAGGAGAACUCACGGGAGCCACCCAUCCUUCUUUCUCCAUACCAUAUCUUUCUAUCUAUCAAUCGAUCCAACCACUCCGCCAUCAGUCCUGUAUUGAUCAUGUUUAGAUAGAUGAGAUAACAUGACCGCAUCAGUGAACCACCCUAGGAUCGAUUAUUGUCGCAUAAAAAUAAUCAUCACUUGACACAAUAUUUUGUCAGAAGUCUCCCUCGUCGACAAUGUUGUGAGAUUUUGCUCACCCAUCACAUUCGAAAAAUCGGACUCCUCGCGAGUCUUUCCAGGGUCUCUAUUGAUGAGGGUGUAAGGGUACAGGUGCACCCUGUUGGGUUCGAACAAUUGCCAAGAGACGAAAAUAACGCCUCAUCAAGAUUUCUUUCUCGCACCCUGUGUUCCAAAGUGCUGGGGCCAACGAGACCCGAAAGUAUGACAAGCCUGGGAGGGCAUUUUUGGAGUGCCACCAUUCGUCCCAUUGAGAUCUGGAGAAGAUACCCACAUCCAUCCAACCACCCACUCACCCACCUUCGGUUCAACUGUGAGGGGGAGUAAAGACCCACCUACCCAAGAUAAGGGAUCAAGGGGCAGGUGCUUAAUAUAGAUGUCGCACACAUUUUCACCAAUUGGUAUUUCCAAUCAAGAUAUCUCAAGUAUUUUGUGGUC
This is a long non-coding RNA of Tigriopus californicus, 2042 nucleotides long. RefSeq lists it as uncharacterized. The transcript is spliced from 3 exons. Lineage: Eukaryota; Metazoa; Arthropoda; Copepoda; Harpacticoida; Harpacticidae. The record is from RefSeq and is a predicted model, not a curated record.